UCGCGCUUCAUCGCACCACCGGUUUUCUCUUGCACUUCAUCGCACCACCGUUUCAAAACCUAAAGGAUGUUGCAGCUUUCGCAAAACAUCUAAAUUUCAUUCUCGUUCUCUGACCACAACCAUUUCUAUGUGAAUCACUUUUUCUCAUAAGCGCUUAAUCUCACUCGCUCUCGUUCUCUGAUUCGCAAUACAUCUAUCCGAUCUUCCCUAAUCGUUGUAUUUUUUCCGAUCUAUAUCAUCACUCUCCAUUUUGCUUAUUCUAAAGAAUUGACAGUGCCUAACACUAUCACUUAUUUGUACUUGAUUUUUAGGGUUCCUGUUUCAACGGUGUCUCGCGAGGCAAUCUCCAUGAUAGUAAGUGAAGAAUUAUCGUCGAUGAAGGUGUAGGUGUGAAAUUUCCAAUUUAUAUAUUUCUCAGUCCGUUUUCUUUUGUUAGAUUGAUCAAUUUGAUUUCUGUUCUUUGAUAUUUGACUGAUAGAAUAUAUAAUUUUUUAAUGUAGAAUUUGAGAGAAUAUUUGACUUGAAGAUUGCAAGUGAGAGAAUCUCAAGAGUUUUUUGACAAUUCAAAAGUAUUCUCACAUCAUUGGUGGAGAGGUUUGUAUUGUUCUCUAGAGUUGGUCUAGUGAAAAUACCAAGAUUUUUCUUUAUUGUUCUCUAGAACUGUCUAAGUAUUGAUUUGAACAUAGGAAGUUCCUAUGAUAGACUUGGGAAGUAUUAAAGACUAAGGACAUUGUAUAGGGUUGGUAACUUAUAGAGACUAGAGUAGAGUUAUUGAUAGCGGCCGCUAUCGGCGCUAUCCCGAGAUAUCGGUCCGGAGUGGUGACCCUCCGCUAUUUGAUGUUUAGCGGCCGCUAUUUGAUGGUUUCAGCCUAGUAAGAGGAAGAUCUAAUAAUUCAAUGGUGGACUAUCAUGCUGCCACUCGAUAAAUAAUUGGUCACCACACUUCCAAUAAUUGUUCCUUAGUAAUCAUUUAUAAAUCUGAUUAGAAGUCAUAAUUUAUCCUCUGGAUGCUUGCUUGUGGUUUUCUUUUUAAGGUCCUGUGAAUCAUGUACGUAUCCAUUAUGUUAGAUUAAGUUUGAACAUCUAUUUUAACAUUUCAGAGCAUUGCGGAAGCUUCUGUUCAUUUGCCUACAUCAGUAGAUCAGAAAGUUGUUGAAGGUCCUGUGGUUUUUAUGUUGCUUACAAUUUGUGCUAAGCUUGUAUUAUAUAAGUAUCUUUCAUUACCUAUGUAGCCCAGAAACUUCAAUGUAGUGUUCGAUACAGCUGCAAUGUUUUAGUAUUAGUAUCAUUUUCGGUGUCCGUGUUUUCUAAGUUACUACUACUCUGACUUAUGGUUGUGAAUGUGAAUUUCUUUGUUGACAGUUUGGAAUUAGAGAGUAUAGUAAUCAGAGAGACUGUGAUUCCUGAACCAGAUUACACGAUUCCAGUGAAGCUGGCGGGUAGGCUUACACAGAUAAUCUAGUGCCUGCUGUACAUGUUAGUCUCCUUGGAUUGCUUUUGUUAUUCCAGGUGAUUAUUAGAAGAUAGUGUAAUUAAGAAAGGUGCAAACUAGCUUGAUGAUCCAAGUACCCUUUUUAAAAGUGGCUAGACCAAUAUUUUGAAGUCUAAUUUCUCAUUGACUGCGUGAAUGCAGCUAUAGUUUCCAACUGCAGUGAAAUAGUUAACUGCAGCUUAAUUUGUUAACUGCAAGCUUGUAUCCUAUGGUUCUCAAUGAUGUUAGCUGUAGUUUUGAUUUAUUGUAUGUCCAACAAUAGUAAAAGUUAAAGAAGUAUCCUCAUGUUCUAGUUAAAUGCAUGUCUUGGUUUGUUGAUAUAUAUGAUUAAGUGUUUCAAUCAUGAUUUUAAUUUCUGAUUUUUCUCCAGAUAUUAUGAAGGAGAUUUUUAGUUCUUGGCCUGAGGUUAGAUGUAUCAAAAAAACACAUCAAAAACAUAACGUGGGGUUAUGUCAUAAUUAACGCUUAUCAUACAAGGGCAUUAUCUUCAUUUAUAUUUUCUUUCCAGACAGACACGCUCGCAUUCCAUCCCAGACAGAGUCACCGUUUCUUUCUUGUUGAGUGAUCCCAAGAGCCUCUCAAAAACUCCAACUUUGCAACACGAUCAUUGCACAAAUCAUGGAUUCUACAUAGAAUAAUUAUUGUGCAUUGGAUUCUGGUUGAAGGAUUGAAGUUGGAUUGUGAGUAGAGGAGGAUGGGUUGUUGGGAAUGUGUUUUGAAGAUUUGGAACAGCUUACUGACCAUUACUGGUCUAGCAAUGGUUGGAUACGGGAUUUAUCUGCUUGUUCAUUUCGGUAAAGCUCCGGAUAACUCACUGAUUGUUGCUAGUGUUAGUGAUGAUCAAACUUAUGUUUUACUUGGCCGACCGAUGCUUAUGGCUUUGCCUCUUUCCAAAAACUUUUUUGAUGAUUUGCCCAGGGCCUGGUAUGAAUGUUGAUCCCCCUCUCUUGCUUGUUUUCAAUUUUCUUUAGAAUAGUAUCUUUGAUCAUGUAGAGAGAAGACAUGUAGAUUAUGUAGUAGGAAGAGUAGAUCAAAUAGAGAGAAGUCAAACAACUAGUGGUAGAGAAGUUAUAAAGAAAAAUCCCAGGAUUAACGAUUUGGAUAGAAACAUGGUUUUAUAUAAAACAUUAUGGCGAAAGUUGAUCCAUGUAACCGAACCCACUUAGUGGGAUAAGACUGGAUCGUUGUUGUUGUUGUAGUAUCUCUGAUUGAAGUCUAGGCAUUUGAAAGUAAAAAACUAUUCAACUUACUUUGGAAAAAAUAAUGAGUAAAAUUCAUUUAGGUACAACUACCAUUAUGAGUAACAAUAACAUGACAUGUAAUAUAAGGUUUCUAUUGUCAGUAGCUAUGUGUAGACCUGCCAAUGCCGAUUGAUCGUAUUUAUGUGAUAGUUAGAAGCAUGCUUCAUUAUUUGGUGUAAUCAAUGAAUUACUUUUUUUUGCUAGUGUUGAUGAAACAAACUUAAAAUGAAAUUUAUUUACUAUCCACAUCACACACCAGGUGUGAGUUAGAAAUUACCUCUAUUUCUUCAACGUGUAGUUAUUUUCAGACCUACUAGUGAUAUCUAUUUAAUUGUUGCUAGUGUUGAUGAAACAAACUUAAAAUGAAAUUUAUUUACUAUCCACAUCACUACAUUGAAGCUUGUAAAUCGAAUUGUGGAAGCACUUAUUACUCGUGAGACAUGAACUGUCUUUAUCAAAGAUAAAAAGUUCAAACUGCAGUGCAUAUGGGUGUCAGAGGAUAUAUUACAUCAGUGGUGGACGAGAUAUUACAAGUUGAUCCAACUUUAUUGAAAGAGUGCGAUAAGAAGGGUAAUACAACUCAUCAUAUGGCCACAAGGAAAGGCCAGUCAUAGGUUAAACUCAAUUUGUUGAACGAUUUUCUCUCUAUUUGUAUUUUUGCCGCCUUUUACUGGAAAAUGGUUCCUUUGACAGAUUAAAUAUAAAUCUGGUUCAAUAUAAAUCUGAUUAAAUAUAUGAAUAGUAAAAAGUAUUAUUACAUGUAUUGACUCUGCAGUAAUCAUAUUUUCCUAGUAAAUAGAGUAUCGUACAAAGUGAAAAAUUUCAAGUGUUUCUUAUAUGGUAACCUGUAGAGGCUUUAGGUUUUUUGUGUUUUAGUUAGGUUCUGCAGUGUUACAGUUUUACUACAGAGUGGUAACAUAAAGCUACUUUUGGAUGCUUAAUCCUCCAAUGGUAGAAUUAGAAGACAAAGAGUAUCAAAUUCUUUGACAUAACAUAAGUACAUCACUGAUGCAACUGUUUUUAGACUCAUAAGUUAUGGAUACACACGUGGAUAAAGGCAAAGCUGGUUUUCAACAUGCAUAAAUAUAAAUUAAGAAGUAUAAAAGAAUAAGAUGUGGGCACCAGAUUGACAACAGUUGAAAAUUGCAUGUUAGAACUGAUUUCUUGAAUUAACAAGUGGGUUGACUUAUUUUCAUUCAUUACUUUCAUAUUUUAUGAUUUUAUAGGUGACGAUUGAGUCAAGGGUCCUGCACUUUGUGAUCUUCCAGGACUUUUCCUUCAUCAAAUGUGAAACCGCCAAAAUCUCAGGUGUAACCUUUGUCACUUUUUCAAUAGGAUCAUUCAUUAUCCUUCUAAAUCUCAAACCUUUUUAAUCCUAUAUCUAGUUUUUAUGAUCUAUGAUGUUACAUUUGUGUUAAGUAAUAGGUCAGGAAUAUUUUCGCUGCUUUUGCCAACUUUCCUAACAGAAUUCGGUUGCGCCAACCUGCCGGUACUAUAUUUUGCGAGCCCAUAAUAUGUCGCAAUCUACCCAAAAUUAUUCUCGGGAAUGUCUUAAUUGUAUUUUGAUUCUUAAUGAAGUUGAAAUAUUGCAGAGCACCAAUUGAAGCUUACUUUCAAUUUACAAGAUGGAAAGAUCCAUUUGUAAUGGAAUGCAUACUUUUGGUGAGGCAGUCUUUAACCCGUAUGAUACUCAUUAGAUAUAAAUACUUUGUUGUUAGUUGUUUCGUUAAAUCUGAUGUAAUGUCGAACAUGCUUCAAUGUGAGUAGUUUCAAUUGUCAAGUGAGAUAAUCAAAUGUGAGAAAUUUCAAUUGAAGAGUGAGAUAAUCAAAUGUGAAUAGUCUAAUCUAGUUCAAAUCUAAUUUUUGGAACCAUAGUUAUAAUUUGUGAAGUUGAAAUAAAAUAGAAUAUGAUUUUGAUGUAUUUUAGUUUUGUGAAUAAUAUUAUAAAAUUAUUAAUUUUUAACAAUGUUUACGAAUGAUUAUUUACAAUCUAGUAUAACUACUGUUGAGUAGAAUUAAUUAUACAAAAAUUUGAUCCAGGGUAAUUUGUU
Long non-coding RNA from Vicia villosa (hairy vetch), 4784 nucleotides. RefSeq lists it as uncharacterized. The record is from RefSeq and is a predicted model, not a curated record. The transcript has 4 exons. Lineage: Eukaryota; Viridiplantae; Streptophyta; Magnoliopsida; Fabales; Fabaceae.